RNA transcript from Eleginops maclovinus (Patagonian blennie), 5893 nucleotides. It is a transcript of the gene named MBT domain-containing protein 1-like, with no coding region annotated. NCBI's taxonomy places the organism in Eukaryota, Metazoa, Chordata, Actinopteri, Perciformes, Eleginopidae. The transcript is spliced from 19 exons. The record is from RefSeq and is a predicted model, not a curated record.
CUACAGGUAUGAUCAUUUUGUUGUUAUGUCUGCUGCUGGGUUUUAGGGUUUCAGUGAGACAGUCCCCCCGCGGCCCGGCCUGAUGGAAAACCCCAGAGAUCUGGCGGAGCGUCCCUGCAGGAAACGGCGCGACUCAUUCGGGAUGCUGGACGGUUUCGAGGAGGACCGGAGCAGCUGCAGCACCGAGUCCAGCGGGGGGAGUGGCGCCUCCAGCCCGGAAGACAGUGACGAGGAGGAGCUGGGGGGAGGAGGGGGGCCUCACUACAACCCCUCCUCCUCCCUGACUCUCAUCAAGACCAACGGGCAGGUGUACACAUACCCCGACGGAAAGGCCGGCAUGGCGACCUGUGAGAUGUGUGGCAUGGUGGGCGUCAGAGAUGCUUUCUACAGUAAAACCAAACGUUUCUGCAGCGUCUCCUGCUCCAGGAGUUACUCGUCCAACUCCAAGAAGGCCAGCAUCCUCGCAAGACUGCAGGGGAAGCCGCCCACUAAGAAGGCCAAAGUUCUGCAGAAACAGCCUCUAAUGACAAAACUAGCUGCGUACGCUCAGCAUCAGGCCAACCAGCAGGGUGGCUUCAAGAAGAGCGUAACUGUGGAGAUGUUCGACUGGGGUCGUUACUUAGAAGACGCUGUUGCCACGGGAGCGCCUGUCGACUGCUUUAAACACGUCCCUAUGGGGAAGUCAUGGGGCGACAUCAGUGAAGGCGUCCGGGUCGAGGUCACAAACACAGACAGCGGUCUGCCCAUGAAGGUCUACUGGAUCGCUGGCAUCAUCAAACUAGCUGGUUUUAAAGCAUUGAUGCGCUACGAGGGCUUCGACGGCGACUCCACCCGAGACUUCUGGCUGAACCUGUGUGUGCCGGACAUCCACCCGGUGGGCUGGUGUGCUGCUGGAGGGAAACCCCUGGUCCCCCCUCAGACUAUCCUGCACAGGAUCACAAACUGGAAGACCUUCCUCAUCAAAAGACUGACGGGGUCCAAAACGCUGCCCCAGGACUUUCCUUCCAAGGUGCAGGACAGUCUGCGGGUUCCCUUUAAGAAGCAGAUGAGGGUAGAGGUGGUGGAUAAAACUCACCUGUGUCGGACUCGUGUGGCUCUGGUUGAACAGGUGAUCGGGGGUCGCCUCCGCCUCGUGUACGAGGAGUGUGACGACGGUUCCGAUGACUUCUGGUGUCACAUGUACAGUCCUCUGAUCCACAGCAUCGGCUGGUCGCGCUCCAUCGGACACAGAUUCAAACGAUCCGAUGUGUCGAAGAAGCUGAGUGCUCAGUUGGACGCUCCUGGACGGCUCUUUGCUAAGGUGAAGGAGGUGGAUCAGAGCGGCUCCUGGUUUGAAGACGGGAUGAAACUAGAAGCCAUCGACCCUCUGAACCUGUCCGCCAUCUGCGUGGCCACAGUGAGGAAGGUGCUGGCAGAUGGGUAUCUGAUGAUCGGUAUCGACGGCUCGGAGGCGGCUGACGGGUCGGACUGGUUUUGUUAUCACUCCAUGUCUCCCUCCAUCUUCCCCGCUGGGUUCUGUGAGAUCAACAACAUCGAGCUGACGCCCCCCAGAGGUUACAGCAAUCUUCCCUUCAGAUGGUUUGAGUAUCUGAAGGAGAGCAAGUCUUUGGCGGCUCCGGUCAACCUCUUCAACAAGGAAGUCCCUAACCACGGUUUCUGUCCCGGCAUGAAGCUGGAGGCUGUGGACCUCAUGGAGCCACGGCUUGUCUGCGUAGCCACGGUGACCCGCAUUGUCCACCGGUUGCUGCGGAUACACUUUGAUGGUUGGGAGGACGAGUAUGAUCAGUGGGUGGACUGCGAGUCACCUGACCUCUACCCGGUGGGGUGGUGUCAGCUGACCGGAUAUCAGCUGCAGCCGCCUGCUGUCAAUGCGGGCUCCAGAGAACUACAGUCAGCGUCCAAACAGAGGAAGAAGUCUCAGCAGUAUAAGGGACAGAAGAAAAGAGAAUCCUUUCAAAAAAUGAAAGGAAGUUGCCUAUUGCAAAGCGACCAGUCAGCUUCUCUGGCACUGUCGUAACGGGCCUCUCCAGGAGCAUAUCUGGAGACGAGAACGAGACACCACCAAAUUACCUAUCACCCCCCACUCCUGCAGUCCCGCCCGCCUCAGUUGACCUGGAGAGCAGCCCCAACACUGAUGGGGGGGCAGGUUCACAGAUUAAAGUGGAAAACUUGGAAGGAAGUGAGUUUUAUUCUGAAAGGACUGAAACCGAAACCAAUGGAUCUUCUGCAGGAUUCUUCACCAACAUGAAGCAGUAACUCAUCCCUGUCUGUUUCAUCUCUCCAUUGAUUUUUUGAGUUUCAAUACUCAUCAAACUUAUCUACUGUGAUUAAAUCAGAUCAUUUUUUGGACACUUUGAACAGGCUAAAUAAGCUACAUGAUGCACUUCGCUUCGGCCAAAACUCUUUUUUUUUAAGCUUUUGUUUCAAAAUUUUAAACAAACGUUACUUCACUUUUUUUCUCAGUUUUAUGUCAAGUCCUUCUCUUUUCGCCCGGUCAAACCAGAAAGUGGCUUAAAGUCUUGGUUGCUAGCUUGGUGAGGUAGUUGGGUUGAUAUCUACAUUUAGGACAAUCAGGUCUUAAUGUCUUGUGAGGUGUAGUUUCUAGGGCGAGUUUACAUUCUCCCAUUUUAAACGUACACUUGGUGGAUAUUUAAUAAACCAGUUAAACAUUUUUUACAGUAUCUCAAACUGAGUACUUUAAAUAACACAAAAAAUACAUUAUUUUCAUAAAACCUCAAUUGAAUUACUAGGAUCCUAUUUUACAAUGAUUCAAUUGUAAGUAAAUAAAAAUAUAGAAACUACUGACAACUUUUAAAAAACAAAUGUGCAAACAAGGUGAGGAGUAGUACGAGGAAUUAAGAAAUACAUUUUGGGUUAUUAAAAAAUAAAUAUAUAAAUACUAAAUUAGGGAAUAUUAAUAUAACAGCUAAAUAUAAAUGGUCUUUAAUUGCAAAAUUACUAUUUACGGAUGUAUGCUAAUUGUUGUCAUGCUAGCUAGCUUGGAAUGUACUUUUGCUGACCAGACAAAAUAGCUCAGCAAGCUAACUGGUUGCUAACUGCCAGUUAGGAAGCUGCUAUAUUGGUGCACCCACUGUCGUCAGAAGAAGGCUUUUUUUCCAGCAUGUUUGCAGGAAACAUGUUAGCCAGCUACAAUUGCACACUAAGCUAGCACGCAACUAACUGUUUUAUACCAGCCAAAUGUUUGACUGUCUCAAACUGUUGUAUUAACACUAUUUUAUUAUUCUUAUCUUGCAAAAAUCUGUAUUAUAAGAGCUGCAGUGUUUUUACUGGAAUCAUAGUAACCAGCCAAAAUAGCAUGCCAAGCUAACACAUUACUUACUUACUGCCAGUGAAGAACUUACUAUCAGCCGCUAGCCGGACAAAAUGUUCAUGUUAAACUACAUCUCAGCACAAUGACUUAAUUGUGUAUUUCGCUAUUUAAAGUCUAUUUAAUCGUUUUUUAGAACUACAGUAGCACUAACCAUCCACAAAAGACCACCAGCUAGCUAGCAUAUCAACAGCCAAUUACAAAGCUAGCUAGCUUGGUUGCUUACAAGAUAUUAAAGAGAUAAUGUUUUUAUUUGGUUUUGUAAAUGAGCAAAUUAAUAUAACUAGUUUUUAAAGAAAUAGAUUGUCAGCUGAAAUUUUCGCAUCAUUAUUUCUGGUCUGACCGGGCCCUUAAUUCCUGCCACCAUUUGCUGAUUUCUUAGCCAUGUGAGGAAAAGGGGCUGUUAGAACUUUCACUACAUGCUCUUAAAGACUUUUCUGACUGAGGAAAGAAAACAAGUUUAGAUAAUGAAGCUGAUGAUGAUGCACAGCUACAUCCAGGACAGUGUUACUCAUCUUUGGUUCCUCUGUGAAAAUAUAACAUAUCAACGGAGGAAAAACAUAACAGAACUUUUUUAUGAAGAUUUUUUACAACACCAGGAUUUGUUAGGUGUUUUUGUUGUGUGUUUAAGGGUCAAAACUCUUGACGUAAUAAUAAUACUGGAUGCUGUGUAAUGUCAUGUUGAGAUUAGCAGUCAUUUAAAAGUGUGUGUGUGUGUGUGUGUGUGUGUGUGUGUGUGUGUGUGUGUGUGUGUGUGUGUGUGUGUGUGUGUGUGUGUGUGUGUGUGUGUGUGUGUGUGUGUGUGUGUGUGUGUGUGUGUGUGUGUGUGUGUGUGUGUGUGUGUGUGUGUGUGUGUGUGUGUGUGUGUGUGUGUGCGUGCGUGCGCUUUGGUUUGGAACAAGUUGUCAGGAUGCCAUUAAGCAAGAAACCAGCCAACAACAGAUACUCCUUUUAUUUGUUUUGCUGCUGAACACUGCUGAAAGUUUGCAGGGUAACAAAAGAAUUCUCAGCAGGCCAGAUAAUCUAUAGCUCCAGUUAUUUGUAUAUUGUUUCUGUGUGUUCAGAAUCAAUUAAAUGAAAAAAUCUUCUCUAAGAAUAUAUUCUUCAGUUCAGUCACAGCCACAGGGCUCUGCCACAGAAGCUGCAAUAACUAAACGUCCAAACGAUUGCAAUAACAGAUCAAUGUCCGUCUGAGUAUCGCAGUUUUUGAUACUGGUGCCAAUUCGAUGUUUUAAUUUCAGCACAAAUGCUUUAUUAUUGGAUAUCUUGGCAUUUGUCCUCAAUUACUUUUCAAAUGCAUCCGAGGCAUAGUCUUUUAUCUCAGAAUAAAAAUCCUGUUUGAUCAGAUCCCCAAAAAAAUCACAUGUGGUCCAUCCAAGGAGUUAUCUAUUUAAAGCAUUAGUAAACCAAAAGGGAACUCUGAGAGUGUAUGCUGUUUAGGAAAGCCAGAAAAAUAGUUUGUGUAUCGACGUUGUCAUCUGAAGUUUCAAAAGAAGCUGAGAAACCAACAAACUGAAAAAAAAAUAACAAGACCGGGCAUUUAGUACUACACUUCAGACCUAAUUAUUUGUCUUGUUUUAUAUAAAAAAUGAUAUAUAAAUCAGCAUUCUGGCAGCUUUUUGAGUUUAUAAAAAGCUAUCUAAUUCAAUGAAGGCAUACAAAAUGAAUCAAAAUAUAUAUUUAAUCAAUUCUGAAAUAAUGAAGCUGUUAUAUGUAAAAAUUAAAAAAUCAUAUACAUGUGUCAAUAGUUAAAUGAAUAUUAACUAUAACUAAUGUUAAUAACUGAAUGUUAGAAACACUGCUUGUAAGCUUAGUAAUCUUCCUUUGGUUCUUCCCUUGUUUUGUUUAAAAAAGCAAAAAUACAACUUAAAGUAGCACUGGGAUGAUCCCAGGGUCACCUGAUUUCAACCAUAUGAAUGUGAAGGAAUCUGAUGAAAACAGGAAAUGUCAGACUCCAUAAAUAACAACUGUGUUCGACAUCUAAAGGAGUGAAUGUUUUCUGAAGCUAACUAUUGAUACCUCACAAAAAAUGUAGAAGUAAGGAUUAAUUGGAUCUUGGAACAAAAUUGUAUAAUAUGGUAUACAGAGGAUAUUUCAAAAACAUAGAAGAGUAUUUUUUAUUUAACAUAAAUUCUACUAAAGAUUGAUAUUUUAAAAAAACAUACAAAAUAAGUAUUUAAAAUAUAAGCUACAGGUAAACAAAGAACAAUAAUAAAUACAUACGUUAAAUUUAACACUAAACAAGAUCAUUAAAAUAUUUUAAUUGAAGUAUUAAUACUUUUUAGAGAUGCUCAGUUUGUUGUGAUGAAAACGCCUUGGUGUGAAAGGACAACAUAAAGACAAAAGAUGCCUUUUAAAACUUUAUUGGAUAAAAUAUUUGUGACAUUUGUUUGUCUUUGUUAAGUGUCAGUUUUGUAUACACUUGUCUAUGUAAGUGCGAUUGUAGAUUUGGUAAAAUUGCAGUGAGUUUAAAUAAUGAAUCAUUUGGAAUGUGACUAAUGUAUUCCCUAGUUUGUGUGUAUUUGAUCACCCAGGACUCCUAGAAAUAAGGUUUUCAGAAAAGAA